RNAcentral lists this ribosomal RNA (386 nucleotides) under uncultured bacterium. RNAcentral describes it as "partial 16S ribosomal RNA". It matches the Rfam family "Bacterial small subunit ribosomal RNA", at positions 523 to 918 of the family's 1533-position model. The record is from RNAcentral.
AUACGUAGGGAGCGAGCGUUAUCCGGAUUUAUUGGGUGUAAAGGGUGCGUAGGCGGUUUGUCAGGUCUAAGGUUUAAUCCCGAAGCUUAACUUCGGUUCGCCUUAGAAACCGAUUAACUAGAGUAUGGUAGAGGCAAGUGGAAUUUCUAGUGUAGCGGUAAAAUGCGUAGAUAUUAGAAGGAACACCAGUGGCGAAGGCGGCUUGCUGGGCAAUUACUGACGCUGAGGCACAAAAGCGUGGGGAGCAAAUAGGAUUAGAUCCCCUAGUAGUCCACGCCGUAAACGAUGGAUACUAAGUGUCGGGCAACCGGUGCUGAAGUUAACACAUUAAGUAUCCCACCUGAGUAGUACGGUCGCAAGGCUGAAACUUAAAGGAAUUGGCGGGG